This 175-nucleotide non-coding RNA is filed under the name Bradyrhizobium japonicum. Its description in RNAcentral is "FMN sequence". It matches the Rfam family "FMN riboswitch aptamer (RFN element)". Rfam says of the family: The RFN element is a highly conserved domain that is found frequently in the 5'-untranslated regions of prokaryotic mRNAs that encode for flavin mononucleotide (FMN) biosynthesis and transport proteins. This element is a metabolite-dependent riboswitch that directly binds FMN in the absence of proteins. Lineage: Bacteria; Pseudomonadati; Pseudomonadota; Alphaproteobacteria; Hyphomicrobiales; Nitrobacteraceae. RNAcentral also lists the same sequence under 1 other name. The record is from RNAcentral.
AUAAGUUCUCAGGGCGGGGUGAAAGUCCCCACCGGCGGUAAGGGCCGAAAGGCCUAAGCCCGCGAGCGCCUUCUCCUUGAUAGGGAUUCCCUCGGGGACCCCUCGGAGGGAAGGGUCAGCAGAUUCGGUGCAACUCCGAAGCCGACGGUUAAAGUCCGGAUGAAAGAGAACGGUC